GACGUCACGGCCAACAUCAUGCAACAACUUCACAUUAUCCAGCACUUGCGCCAGGUGCCUGAGGCGCUGCAGGGGCUCUGCCUCUGAGGCCACCAGCAACUCCCGCUCCCUGUAAACGAGGAGUGUAGUGAGGCUGAGUGGCCUCCCUCUGAGCAGGAGAGCAAGGGCCCCCCACACGCCCCUUGGAGGGCGGAGCCUAUAUUGCCCCGCCCCCCUCGCCUGUAGGACUGUUUUUUGCCUGGCAACCAGGGCUUCUAGGAGAGUGUGUUGAGACUGAGUGGCCUCCAUCCGAGCGGGAGAGCGAGGGACCCCCUACAUGCCCCAUUGGAGGGCGGAGCCUAUAUUGCCCCGCCCCCCUCUCCGUAAGGACCGGGGUGUGGCCGGAAGUAUAAAAGGCCAGCCCUGCAGCACAGUUGGGGGAGAACCUGCAAUAGAGGAGGACGCUCGGCCUGUUCUCCGAAGGCCCCGAGAGGAACCUGCUCCCGGCUGUUCCCAAUCCCCAGGCGUGGACGAGGACUGGCCCAGAGUAUCCGCUGCGGUUUACCCCGAGGAGCCAGAAGAGGCCUGGAGGCCGCAGGAAUAGGAGCCUCCUUCCCAGCUGUGUUCCAGGCCCUGGGAUCUGGCACAGCUUCCCAGAUGGGCGCAUCUUGUAACGGAGCCACGUCAGGGAGCAGUGGGGACAGGUCACCUCGUCCCAUCCAAGCAAGCAACGCUGGCUCUCAAAGAGGCUUAGAUGGAAGACCCCAAUCCCUCAUGGAGGAAGGGGCUCCCCAAAGACGUCCUCGAAUCUGGACUCAUGAGAGCGUUUCUGGUAGGAGGCUCCAGCCCCUCGGGCAUGAAGAGAGCAUCAGGUAGUCUCGAUCACAUGGCAUCUCUGGUCUCCAGCUCCACUUCCCGCAGCAGGGCAAACAAACCCAUCAGCUCCCAGAAUCCCAACUCUUUAACUUCCUUCCGCUCAGCAGUGAGGUUUCUCCAGCCCCCUCACCACACCUGUCAGCCCCUGAAUGAUGAAGGGCCUGAAUGUCAGAGUUACCAGAACAAGCAAACUCCAGUUCCAGGCAAUGGGGCCUGUGUAUACUCAGCCCCCUGGAAACUGGGUCUGAAAUGGGGAGCAAGGACCCCAGGCCAAUAACAGCAGGAGUGGGCAGAGCAGGCAUGUAACAGGGUGCUUUCCCUUGGGCUGCACAGCCUGGGGCCUAGCCAAGCUGAUUAUAGAAUGAGCCCUAACUGAGAGGCAAAAGGGGUGAGAGGCCUGUGGGUGCAGGCUGUACAAGCAUGCAGCCGGUGACAGCGACGAGAUGGCGAGGGAUGAAGCUUGGACAAGAAUAGUACUUGCCCCUCAUGUGGGCCAGUUUCUAAGGAGGAGCAUAUAUGACAGGGGGGCUUGGCCUGUGGGCAAUAAAGCCUGGAGCUAGGUCAAAUGGAUUACAGAGUGAGCUCCACCUGAGGGGAAAGCCAGGGAAAACCGCAGCAAAGGUACAGGAGCAGGCCUACCUGUUUGGUACAGGGCCUUGGGGCAGAACCUAGAAUCCAGGGUAGGACUGGUUCUCCCAUGGUCUCUAAGGAAGGGGACGUACAAGGCCAUAGAAAGGGCUACCAAGGUCAGCAAGGGCAGGCCAAGCCAAAGUCAGGCUGAGGAAAAUCCCAAAGGGACGGAGGACCUUGUUUCGGUUAAAGACAUUUUUGGACUUUUCGUUUGGGAUGAUCGCGACCCAGGAAGGAGCAGGAAAGCUGUGACACCAGGCCUUGCCAGGAAGGGGCACCUAUCGCUUUCACAGACCUUGGGAGGCAGGCCAGUCCUCGCCCACAGACAACCUGCCAACCUUAAGCAUAUUCUCACCAGCAACCACACACUGCACCAUAACAACUCUAACUCAGGAACCAAUC
This is a non-coding RNA of Chrysemys picta bellii (western painted turtle), 1887 nucleotides long. The record is from RefSeq and is a predicted model, not a curated record. NCBI's taxonomy places the organism in Eukaryota, Metazoa, Chordata, Testudines, Emydidae.